This 250-nucleotide ribosomal RNA is filed under the name uncultured prokaryote. RNAcentral's name for it is "partial 16S ribosomal RNA". It matches the Rfam family "Bacterial small subunit ribosomal RNA", at positions 524 to 773 of the family's 1533-position model. The record is from RNAcentral.
UACGUAGGGGGCAAGCGUUAUCCGGAUUUACUGGGUGUAAAGGGAGCGUAGACGGAGAUUUAAGUCUGAAGUGAAAUGACGGGGCUCAACCACGGAGCUGCUUUGGAAACUGGGUCUCUAGAGUACAGGAGAGGUAAGUGGAAUUCCUAGCGUAGCGGUGAAAUGCGUAGAUAUUAGGAGGAACACCAGAGGCGAAGGCGGCUUACUGGACUGUAACUGACGUUGAGGCUCGAAGGCGUGGGGAGCAAAC